UACGUAGGUGGCAAGCGUUGUCCGGAUUUACUGGGCGUAAAGAGCGCGCAGGCGGUCAGAUAAGUCGAAUGUGAAAGCCCCCGGCUCAACUGGGGAGGGUCAUUCGAUACUGUUCGACUCGAAGGCAGGAGAGGGAAGUGGAAUUCCCGGUGUAGUGGUGAAAUGCGUAGAGAUCCGGAGGAAGACCGGUGGCGAAGGCGGUCUGCUGGGCAGUUUCUGACACUGAGGCGCGACAGCGUGGGGAGCAAACAGG
RNAcentral lists this ribosomal RNA (253 nucleotides) under uncultured bacterium. RNAcentral describes it as "partial 16S ribosomal RNA". It matches the Rfam family "Bacterial small subunit ribosomal RNA", at positions 524 to 776 of the family's 1533-position model. The record is from RNAcentral.